UUAGGAAGCAGUCUAGGGUCAUCAGCUCCCAGCAGCUUGAAGGAGGAGCCCCUCGGAAGCCGGGACUCAGACUCCUGCGGAGGGGGCACUGUCUGGUUCAUGCUGGUACCUCAAAGCAGCUGUGAUGGGACUGGUUCCAGGAGUACUGCAAGAAGCUAGAAAUCACAACGCACUGGAACAAAAACUGCUUCCAGGGUGAAAGGUCAAUUCUGGGGUGCUGCUGAUAGCACAGGCAGACAAACAGAAGGGGCAAGUCUCUCCUCCUAUCCUGUGCCAACCAGCUUCCCCCGAGGGUCCCUGAUUGGCAAAGAAGAUGAGUAGUCAGCAGAGUCCCAGCCCAGCAGAGCAGAAUAUAGGAAGGUGGAUCUGGAACUGAGACAGAACCCCUUCCCAGCCAGCACACAGGGGUGAUGUGUGCACACGAGGGCACGAGGAUUAAAGUAAGGGAGACAGUUGUCAGUAUAAUGACAUCAGCCACCGUUACUGAUCCUUUCCACACGCUGACUCCUUUACUCCUCACACCUAUGAGGCAGAUGCCAUUAUCUUAACACUUUUUACAAUGCCAAAGCUAAUAUUUAGGGAUGCUAAAUAACUUGCAAAAGGCUAGGAAAAGGAGGAGUCAAGAUUCACAGCCAGGUCUGUCUGGGUGCUAAGAUCCUGCUACAACCACCUGUAUUUGUUUUCUAGGGCUGCCGCAGCAAACUACAACAAACUGAGUGGCUUACAAACAGGGAAACUUUUUUAUAUCACAGUUCUAGAGGCCGGAAGUCCAAAAUCAAAGUGCUGGCAGCACCAGGCUCCCUCUGAAAUCGCUUAGCAGAGAAUUUUUCUUUGCCUCUCCCAGUGUCUGGUGGCUCCAGGCAUUUCUUGACUCGUAGCUAUGUAACUUCAGUCUCUGCCACCUUCUUCACAAGGCCUUCUCCUCUGUGUCUCUGUGUGUUCUCUUUUGUGGCUAUGGAACACUUAUCAUUGGAUUUAGGACCCACCUGGGUUAUCCAGGAUGAUCUCGUCUACAGAUUCUUAACUUUAAGUUAGAAAAAAGGGGGUGGGGUAAGCACAGGCACAGAAAUAAUUAAUUAAUUUAAUUAAUUAAUUAAAAGAAAAAACAAAGACACGUUUUCCAAAUAAAGUUGCAUUCACAGGUCUGGGGGUAGAAUAGGGACAUGUGUUUGGCAGCCACAAUUCAACCACUGCACCAUCAUAUCAUGUAAAACAACUACUGGGCUUUUGAAAAUCAUUUUCAGCAAAGCCACUUAAAAUUAAAUCUGUAUUCUUAUAACAUUUUCAGAUUCUAAAACAAUGUUUUGUGCCAUAUGUAGAACUUUUAAUAUUUGAUGUUCCUGUCCCUUCAAGCUUUAAGCAGUGACACCUUCUGCAGCUCCUGUCUUCUAAACAGCCAUCCUGCAUGUCUUCACCUCAUCAACUCAUGAUCUCAUUUCAAAUCUCAUCUGGAAAUAUCCUCCCUCCACUCUGGUCCCUCCUUGGCUGCUUUCUUUGGCUUGACUUUCAUCAGCACUUGUGUCACGCAGUCCAAGGAUUCAGUGGGCACGCCUGGUCCAACAAGUAUUAUUUAAGAUGAGAGUUUCCUCAUCCAUCGAGUGGAAGGCUCCCAAAGCCUCUAACGUGUGUCCCAAAAGAGUCCACCCUCCUCCCCCAAGUCUCCACUCCACACUCCAGCCUUAGGAAGGAAACUUUCAAAUGAUGGUUUCUCUCUUUGGUUGAAAGAACGGAAUGAUCCAUUUUGCAACUCACCUGGUUGAGGAUGUAGUUUGGAAGUUUACCUACUUUGAAGACACGUGUCUGUGUGUCUGUGUGUGAAGGGUAAAAAGAUUUCUCAAAGCAAGCAGACAUUAGAGAGAAAUGUACAUAGUGCUCUUUUGCAAAAUAAAAUAUGUGAGCUGAGGGCCUCUAAUGCAUUAGGGUUAAUGACAUAUAUUUCAUAUGCCUGAUCUGAAAGAAUUGAAAAGGUGUCUUUUCUCUCCCAUGUAAAUAUGUCAGAGCCAUCGUUAUUAGUGUCUGACAUAUUUGCUAGUGCAGAUUUCCAGCAUCCCAAGUACUAUAUCCCUUAGAUUUAAUUCUGAAGUUCUUAGAUUUGGCAUCCUGUAAAGAAAGGAGAUGAAUAUUAGAAAGUGAAAUUUUAAAACCCAUCCAAGGUUUCCUCUAAGUGUCUCAAUAUUGAAAUCAUCAAUAUCUGUUUGAAGUUUAAUUUUAAGAAACUAUUUCCUGCCUCCACAGACCUACAUAUUGAUGUUACUGCAUUGUUCUUCCCUCUUUUCCUACAAAAUUCUCGGAAACAUGUUUUUCUUCAGGCAAGGGAGUAGAUGAAAACACCGAAUAGAUUAUUUCAGACGUACUUUCUCUCCCCUUCCCCAUGACCAGGAAAAGACAAAACGUUGCCUCUUCUUUCAUUUUUCUUCUUGGUAUAUUGAUGGAGCUGUCAUUAUGCCCUCAACACCUCAUCUGAAGUAAUAUGGGACAAUAAGAGGGGCAGCCGCUUCCCAAGACUUCACAGUCAUCAUGUAGUUCAUCCAAGAGCUCCAGCCACACCAAUCUGACCCUGCUAUGGCUAAGGACAAGGCUGCCUUCCGGCAACCCCGAGAACAGAGUUGGACAGUCCAUCCCUGGGAGACCCUGUCCCAGAACAUCUAGACUCCCAGGUUGGUCCUCUUUGGAACAUGAGAGGAUGUGGUUACAUUUGCAAUUGAAAGACAUCAUCUAGGGGGUAAAUGUGAAAGGAAAGGUCCAGGAAGGACCAGGGCAGAGGGCUCCCCUAUAAUUCUCUGAUGUUCAUUCCUUUGAACACCCUUAGCCAUGUAGACACAUUUGCAAGGAGAGAGUUUGCAAAGCCAUUAAUAGAAACAAAAGUAGUAAGGAAGAUCUGAUGUGACUCAACAUGCUGUUCACAUAAGAGAAACUAAUCUCCAGGCAGAAUGGCCUGUAACUGAUGCCUGUGUUCUGUUAUUGAAAGCCUCUUGGCAUUGCUUUGUUGCAUUCUGGAAUACACAAUUACAAGCACUGAAAUUAAAGAAGCAAAAAACAUUAACCAAUUCCAUAACUAUAACAAUAGAUACAAAAUAUUAUACAUGCUAGAUUCAUGUCAGUUCUCAAAACAGUCUUAACUGUCCUCAUUUCUGUACACACUUCACCAAUGACUCACUUUUACACUCUGACAAGUCACAUGACUUCCUUGCACUGUAUUUUCUGCAUUUACAGAUGGGAUAAAAAACAACUUUAAUGCUGUUGUAUGUUCAAGGAACCUAACCACAAAGUACUGUGAAUUCCUUGUAUAAAUGGUACUGUGCAGAAACAAGCCAGUUUAAAACCAAAACUAAACCAAAAGAAGCAUUAGCCAAGUCAGGAGUACCCCCAAAAUUCAGAGAUUACUGCAACUUAUUGCAUUAAAGUCUGGGCAACGUGUCUUCAGAGAGAACAUGCUACUUGUUUAGGGGUAGUUUGGCAUAGGCAGGAAGGUAUGGAUUUAAGGUUUAAAUCUUGGAUCUGCAAGUGAUGGUUGCACAAAUAUAUGUGACUUUGGGCAACUCACACUUAUGAAAUGGAGAUAAAGACAGCUACCUUACAGGGUAUUUGUAAGAAAUACAGAGAAACAUGAAGAAUACUUAGAACAUAGCAGAUGCCCAAGAAAUACAUCCUCUGUAUUUUCUGCAUCCUAUUUUCAGGUUAAUCCUGCUCCACUCCCCUGCCCCAUUAACUCAAGACUUCAUAUUGAUGGAGAAGUCAGCAGAGCAGCCAAGAGCAUCAGCAGCUGCCCAUUAGCCUUUACCCACUGCAUGGUUCAUUCAUUCAUUCAUUCAUUCAACAAGUAUUUCUCAAGCUUCUCCCACACGCCAGGCACUAGAGCUGAUCCCCUGCAGCUUUUCAGCAUUACCAGUAUCCACUGCUAACCAGAUCUGCUUGACCCCUCGAGUUCGCCUUUCUUCACUGGUUCCAGUGAAGAAACCCUGAGCCUCCCCCAGUCUAUCUUGGACAGUUGUGCAAAUUAAGCAUUACCGAACUCAUGGAGCAGCAUCCACGUCACGGCGCUUCCUUCUUGCUCGUCCUCCCUGCCUACAUGCACCUAGGGAAUCUUUCUGAGGUUAUGCUAAGCAAAGUGAAUACAGUAAAAUCCAAGAAUUAGAUUGAAGACCGAGUGAGGGGAGUAAAGGCUUCCUCCCCUCAUUGAGGACAGCAUCUGGCUAGGAAGUCAUGGGCCUCGUUAACAUUAUUAAUCACUCUAAUGCCAACAUGGUUGUAUUUUUAUUUGAUUUUCAAGGGGAUCUUGUAGAAAAAGGUUAUCUCCUUUUUACCAAUGAAGAAGCAAGAUCCAGAGGAAUUAAACCAUUUGACUGUGGUCACAAAGCCAGUGGGUGUCUGCACUAAGACCAAAAUUCAGUUCUCCUGACCCCCAGGCCUGUUUCCUCACAGGCUGGUGGCCCAGCCGUGCUGUCCAAUAGAAUUAUCUGUGUGAUGGAAUGUUCUAGACCUGUGCCAGCUAAUGCAGUAGCCACCCAGCUCAAUGUGCCUGUUGAGUACUUGAAAUGUGGUUAGUGUAACU
Non-coding RNA from Macaca mulatta (Rhesus monkey), 4552 nucleotides. The record is from RefSeq and is a predicted model, not a curated record. Lineage: Eukaryota; Metazoa; Chordata; Mammalia; Primates; Cercopithecidae.